AUUGAACGCUGGCGGCAUGCUUUACACAUGCAAGUCGAACGGUAACAGGGAGCUUGCUCCGCUGACGAGUGGCGAACGGGUGAGUAAUGCAUCGGAACGUACCCAGUCGUGGGGGAUAACGUAGCGAAAGUUACGCUAAUACCGCAUACGUCCUGAGGGAGAAAGCGGGGGACCGUAAGGCCUCGCGCGAUUGGAGCGGCCGAUGUCGGAUUAGCUAGUUGGUAGGGUAAAGGCCUACCAAGGCGACGAUCCGUAGCGGGUCUGAGAGGAUGAUCCGCCACACUGGGACUGAGACACGGCCCAGACUCCUACGGGAGGCAGCAGUGGGGAAUUUUGGACAAUGGGCGAAAGCCUGAUCCAGCCAUGCCGCGUGAGUGAAGAAGGCCUUCGGGUUGUAAAGCUCUUUCAGGUGGAAGAAAACGACAUAGGUUAAUACCUUAGUGCGGAUGACGGUACCAUCAGAAGAAGCACCGGCUAACUACGU
Molecule: ribosomal RNA, 484 nt
Filed under: uncultured bacterium
Lineage: Bacteria
Description: bacterial SSU rRNA
Rfam family: Bacterial small subunit ribosomal RNA
Source: RNAcentral